ACUGUGAAGCCGUGUUCGGACCCCGAAACGAGUAAGGACCCCUCACCCUAUUUCCUAUCACGGUUUUAAAGUUCAAUAAAUGAUAAGACGGUAUUUCAUGAAUCAAUGAAUGUGUGAAAUUGCUUAAGGUUGCUAAUGGAGCCCGAGUCUAGUGUGUUUGUCGGUUAACUGUUAUUUGGCCUGUUUUACAGUUUUAAAUGCAGCAUGAGGUUUGAUGUUUUCAUUUUAUAGUUUCGUGUGCAUAUUC
RNAcentral lists this long non-coding RNA (247 nucleotides) under Carica papaya (papaya). Its description in RNAcentral is "long non-coding RNA (CPAP_LNC009340)". The record is from RNAcentral. Lineage: Eukaryota; Viridiplantae; Streptophyta; Magnoliopsida; Brassicales; Caricaceae.